CCCACCCUAGAAUAAACCCAGGGUAGCCCUGGACCAUCCCCAGCUCAAUCAAACCUUUGUCAGCAGUGACCAAAAGAAAGCCCGGGUUUUUUUUCCAGGGGUGAUGUUUGAGAAUGAUGUUUGAAACUCACCAUCCUGGGCAUUUUCCCACCUUGCUUUGGAAAAAUCCAGCCAUCCUAUCAUCAUCCUAUCAUCAUUUUAGUCUUAGGAUCAAUAGCAACGGACUCCACAUGCAGAGGAUAUGGGCCUUUGGGGGAACAAAGGCAGUCAGUAGACUAUUGUCAUGGUCAAGUAAGAGCUACUGUGGGCCCACAUAAGGGCAGUGGAGUAGGGAUGGAGGGAUGGUGACAGAUUUGACAAAUGCUUAGGAGGUAAAGUUGGU
RNAcentral lists this long non-coding RNA (382 nucleotides) under Homo sapiens (human). RNAcentral's name for it is "HSALNT0190047". The record is from RNAcentral. Lineage: Eukaryota; Metazoa; Chordata; Mammalia; Primates; Hominidae.